RNAcentral lists this ribosomal RNA (251 nucleotides) under Escherichia coli. Its description in RNAcentral is "partial 16S ribosomal RNA". It matches the Rfam family "Bacterial small subunit ribosomal RNA", at positions 327 to 570 of the family's 1533-position model. Lineage: Bacteria; Pseudomonadati; Pseudomonadota; Gammaproteobacteria; Enterobacterales; Enterobacteriaceae. The record is from RNAcentral.
UCGUCCAGCCUCCUACGGGAGGCAGCCGUGGGGGAUAUUGCACAAUUGGCGCCAGCCUGAUGCAGCCAUGCCGGGUGUAUUAAGAAGGCCGUCGGGGUGGAAAGUACUUUCAGCGGGGGGGGAGGGAGGAAAGUUAAUUCCUUUGGUAAUUUGAGAUACCCGCAGGAGAAGCACCGGCUAACACCCUGCCAGCAGCCCCGGUAACACGGGAGGGGCAAGCGUUAAUCGGGAUUACUGGGCGGAAAGCGCAC